This is a long non-coding RNA of Suricata suricatta (meerkat), 341 nucleotides long. RefSeq lists it as uncharacterized. Lineage: Eukaryota; Metazoa; Chordata; Mammalia; Carnivora; Herpestidae. The record is from RefSeq and is a predicted model, not a curated record. The transcript has 3 exons.
GAAAGUGAAAAAAGAAGGCAAUGCAUUAGAAAAGGAGCUAGCCGAAGCAAAAGAAGUGAAAUCACAGAGCAUCAAAACAUGAAAUUGGAACGUGACCUCUGCUUGUUCAGAUUUGCUUUCACACAAGAAGGAGAAAGAAGCCUUGCUGAGAAGUUCUAUGAGAAAAUAUGGAGAAUUCACCAAGAACACAAGAGCGAUAUGCUAAAGAAAUUGAAAUGAAACUACAACCGGAAAUCCCUGUUAGAAGUCCACACUGCAAUCGAUUGUAGAAACUCAGUUGAAUACGGGCUAGUAAGAAUCUGGAAAAGAGCAAAAUCCAACUUCUGCUUGAGAAACAGCAG